CUACGGAGGGUGCAAGCGUUGUCCGGAUUUAUUGGGUUUAAAGGGUGCGUAGGUGGUUUAUUAAGUCAGUGGUGAAAUCCGACAGCUUAACUGUUGAACUGCCAUUGAUACUGGUAAACUUGAGUGUUGUUGAGGCAGGCGGAAUUUAUGGUGUAGCGGUGAAAUGCAUAGAUACCAUAAAGAACACCGAUAGCGAAGGCAGCUUGCUUAGCAACAACUGACACUAAUGCACGAAAGCGUGGGUAGCGAACAGGAUUAGAUACCCGAGUAGUCC
RNAcentral lists this ribosomal RNA (274 nucleotides) under uncultured bacterium. RNAcentral's name for it is "partial 16S ribosomal RNA". It matches the Rfam family "Bacterial small subunit ribosomal RNA", at positions 523 to 796 of the family's 1533-position model. The record is from RNAcentral.